CAACCUGGCGGCAUGCCUAUAAUGCAAGUCGAACGCUUUGAUUUCACCGGGUGCUUGCACCCACCGAAGUCAAAGAGUGGCGGACGGGUGAGUAACACGUGGGUAACCUGCCCAUAAGAGGGGGAUAACAUACGGAAACGGAUGCUAAUACCGCAUACUUCUAAUCGCCUCCUGGCGAAUGGAAAAAAGGUGGCUUCGGCUACCGCUUAUGGAUGGACCCGCGGCGUAUUAGCUAGUUGGUGAGGUAAUGGCUCACCAAGGCGAUGAUACGUAGCCGACCUGAGAGGGUGAUCGGCCACACUGGGACUGAGACACGGCCCAGACUCCUACGGGAGGCAGCAGUAGGGAAUCUUCCGCAAUGGACGAAAGUCUGACGGAGCAAUGCCGCGUGAGUGAAGAAGGUUUUCGGAUCGUAAAACUCUGUUGUUAGAGAAGAACAAGGAUGAGAGUAACUGCUCAUCCCCUGACGGUAUCUAACCAGAAAGCCACGGCUAACUACGUGCCAGCAGCCGCGGUAAU
Molecule: ribosomal RNA, 519 nt
Filed under: uncultured bacterium
Lineage: Bacteria
Description: bacterial SSU rRNA
Rfam family: Bacterial small subunit ribosomal RNA
Source: RNAcentral